This is a long non-coding RNA of Thalassophryne amazonica, 146 nucleotides long. RefSeq lists it as uncharacterized. NCBI's taxonomy places the organism in Eukaryota, Metazoa, Chordata, Actinopteri, Batrachoidiformes, Batrachoididae. The transcript has 3 exons. The record is from RefSeq and is a predicted model, not a curated record.
ACCAGCCUCCCCUGAGCAAACACACAGGUGACAGUGGCAAGGAAAAACUCCUUCUGGUGAUAAUGAAGAAGAAAUCUUAAGCAAACCACACUCAGAGGGGUGACCCACUGCUUUGGCCAUUCUAACAGUUACAAGGUUUUUACCGA